GCAGGGAUAGGGAAGCGGUCAAACCUGCCAGGUUCAGGGCCUGGUCGCUUAGUGCGUUCGGGGGUUCGAAUCCUCCUCCCUGCA
RNAcentral lists this transfer RNA (84 nucleotides) under archaeon. RNAcentral describes it as "tRNA-Leu". It matches the Rfam family "tRNA". From Rfam's summary of the family: Transfer RNA (tRNA) molecules are approximately 80 nucleotides in length. Their secondary structure includes four short double-helical elements and three loops (D, anti-codon, and T loops). Further hydrogen bonds mediate the characteristic L-shaped molecular structure. tRNAs have two regions of fundamental functional importance: the anti-codon, which is responsible for specific mRNA codon recognition, and the 3' end, to which the tRNAs corresponding amino acid is attached (by aminoacyl-tRNA synthetases). tRNAs cope with the degeneracy of the genetic code in two manners: having more than one tRNA (with a specific anti-codon) for a particular amino acid; and 'wobble' base-pairing, i.e. permitting non-standard base-pairing at the 3rd anti-codon position. RNAcentral also lists the same sequence under 1 other name. The record is from RNAcentral.